This 20-nucleotide small RNA is filed under the name Arabidopsis thaliana (thale cress). RNAcentral's name for it is "ATSL245660". The record is from RNAcentral. Lineage: Eukaryota; Viridiplantae; Streptophyta; Magnoliopsida; Brassicales; Brassicaceae.
AUUUUUUUGGUUUUUUUUUG